ACAUCAUCAAGAAGGGCUCAUAC
RNAcentral lists this non-coding RNA (23 nucleotides) under Arabidopsis thaliana (thale cress). Lineage: Eukaryota; Viridiplantae; Streptophyta; Magnoliopsida; Brassicales; Brassicaceae. The record is from RNAcentral.